AUUGAACGCUGGCGGCAGGCUUAACACAUGCAAGUCGAGCGGAGAUGAGGUGCUUGCACCUUAUCUUAGCGGCGGACGGGUGAGUAAUGCUUAGGAAUCUGCCCAUUAGUGGGGGACAACAUUCCGAAAGGAAUGCUAAUACCGCAUACGUCCUACGGGAGAAAGCAGGGGAUCUUCAGACCUUGCGCUAAUAGAUGAGCCUAAGUCGGAUUAGCUAGUUGGUGGGGUAAAGGCCUACCAAGGCGACGAUCUGUAGCGGGUCUGAGAGGAUGAUCCGACACACUGGGACUGAGAAACGGCCCAGACUCCUACGGGAGGCAGCAGUGGGGAAUAUUGGACAAUGGGGGGAACCCUGAUCCAGCCAUGCCGCGUGUGUGAAGAAGGCCUUAUGGUUGUAAAGCACUUUAAGCGAGGAGGAGGCUACUGAGACUAAUACUCUUGGAUAGUGGACGUUACUCGCAGAAUAAGCACCGGCUAACUCUGUGCCAGCCGCCGCCGUAA
This 501-nucleotide ribosomal RNA is filed under the name uncultured bacterium. RNAcentral describes it as "partial 16S ribosomal RNA". It matches the Rfam family "Bacterial small subunit ribosomal RNA", at positions 30 to 523 of the family's 1533-position model. The record is from RNAcentral.